GCAGCAUCAGUGGUUGGAAGCAGAAAUGUAUUACUUACGCUGUAUCUGUUUUGUGUGUCAGUUCAUGUCUCAUUUUAGUAGCUGCUGUGCUCUUGUCUGCAGUGAACACACUUAUCCCAGUGUUUACAGUCCAUGGAGGAGAGAUCCAGUUCAGAGAGAAGGUACUAUGGACAGCUAUCACUCUCUUCAUUUUCUUAGUAUGCUGUCAGAUACCUUUAUUUGGAAUCAUGUCAUCAGAUUCAGCAGAUCCUUUCUACUGGAUGCGAGUCAUUCUUGCAUCAAACAGAGGUACGUUGAUGGAAUUAGGUAUCUCUCCCAUUGUGACAUCUGGUUUGAUCAUGCAGCUGCUAGCUGGAGCAAAGAUCAUUGA
Molecule: long non-coding RNA, 370 nt
Filed under: Chrysolophus pictus (golden pheasant)
Lineage: Eukaryota; Metazoa; Chordata; Aves; Galliformes; Phasianidae
Description: lncRNA (ENSCPIG00010003237.1)
Source: RNAcentral